UCAUUUAAUGAUAAUCUUUUUCUUAAUUGGUGUGAACUGCAAACAACACAGACAUAAAAAGACCAAGAGUUGGUAGCUGAGUUUUCUUAAUGAAUCGUAAAUAAUAAUCUAUACGUGUAAUAAAAUGCCGUGUGGUUCCCGGCACUAUUACAAAAAAGAAUAGGACCACUCCAUCUCUUUCCCAUGGAUGUCGUAAAAGGCGACUAAGGGAUAGGCUUAUAAACUUAGGAUUCCUCUUUUAGGCGAUGGGCUAGCAACCUGUCACUAUUUGAAUCUCGGUUCUAUCAUUAAGCCAAAUAGCUGAACGUGGCCAUUCAGUCUUUUCAAGACUGUUGGCUCUGUCUACCCCGCAAGGGAUAUAGACGUGAUCAUAUGUAUGUAUGUAUGUAUGUAUGUGUAAUAAAAUAGAGUAUUUUGUGAAUGGGUGUUAGUUUGUCCGUUUUUCACGUUAAAACAUUGAAAAAAUUAUAAUUAUGCGAAAUUUAAUGGUGAUCGGCAGCAUGAAAUUUCGCAUACAUAAAUUUUUUUUAUUCGAAAUAAUAAUAAUAGGGUAAGGAGGGGGAAUGACGCUCAGUGGGUAAUGGCGUUCACCUAGGUAAAUCUAUCAAAACGCAGCAUAGCAACACGCCACGACGCAUGAAGGCGCGGGGGAAGGGGGCCUCUAACAGGCGGCGACACGAACCGACAGUCAGCCCGCAUCACCUGAUCGUGAAGUGCAUUUCUUUGUUUGAGGCCGCGCCGAUGUAAUUUUACGUUUGGUGUUUUCUGUCGAUAUGCCAAGAAAACGCAGUUAAUCGUAACCAAAAACCCGUUGAUGAGCCAAGAUCUCCGGUAUCAUUUGCUGCUCUAGCAAUCACACCUACUCCAGGACCAUCUUUUAAGCGAGGUCAAAGAAAGCGAAAACAACAUGCUACCAUUUUAACAGCAACCCCUAUGAAAAUUAUUUUAGAAGACAAAGAAAAGAAAAAAGUAGAGAAACUUAAGAAAACGAGGCAUAAAGUUGCCAAAGGGAAGAAACCAAAGAAACAAAAAACGCACAAGAGAAAAAUUUUAAUGUCCAGUUCUUCAAAUAGUGAUGAUGGAGACCAAAUAUGCGACGAUGACAGCGAUGAUGACAUGAAUGUGGAUAAUGAAAAUUACAAUAAAUGCAUCAUCUGCGAAGAAUUCGGCAAAAACAAGGAAUUGUGGUACCGUUGCACCCUCUGCGGGCUGUGGGCCCACGCCAUAUGUUCGGGAUGGGAUGCACCAGAUGGUUUUACCUGUGAUUUAUGUGUUCGAAAAUAACGAAUUAAUACGAAUUUGUGUUUCUAGAACUCACUUUUAUUUUAUAAUGUUGAUAUCAUUCCUGUUUUUUUAACUAACACAUAUAUAAUCGGUUAUAUUUCUUAAAAACAUGUUUGAGCGUCGUUACCCCGUACCCCGAGCGGUAUUACCCAGAGUAAGGGGGCAAUGCCGCUCAAGCAUGCUUUUUUUAAAAUGUUUUUUUACUAUUAGUAAAUAAAAGGUAUACGCUGUUAUUGUUAACUAGUUGAUUACUAGAGAGUUAAAGACUAUGUUUCUUUUUUAAAUUUUGAAUUAAAAUGUCUAAUCAAAAAAAUA
Amyelois transitella is the source of this 1599-nucleotide long non-coding RNA. RefSeq lists it as uncharacterized. Lineage: Eukaryota; Metazoa; Arthropoda; Insecta; Lepidoptera; Pyralidae. The transcript is spliced from 2 exons. The record is from RefSeq and is a predicted model, not a curated record.